This 495-nucleotide ribosomal RNA is filed under the name uncultured bacterium. Its description in RNAcentral is "partial 16S ribosomal RNA". It matches the Rfam family "Bacterial small subunit ribosomal RNA", at positions 28 to 507 of the family's 1533-position model. The record is from RNAcentral.
GACGAACGCUGGCGGCGUGCCUAAUACAUGCAAGUAGAACGCUGAAGGAGGAGCUUGCUUCUCUGGAUGAGUUGCGAACGGGUGAGUAACGCGUAGGUAACCUGCCUGGUAGCGGGGGAUAACUAUUGGAAACGAUAGCUAAUACCGCAUAAUAGUAGAUGUUGCAUGACAUUUGCCUAAAAGGUGCAAUUGCAUCACUACCAGAUGGACCUGCGUUGUAUUAGCUAGUUGGUGGGGUAACGGCUCACCAAGGCGACGAUACAUAGCCGACCUGAGAGGGGGGUCGGCCAACCUUGGACUGAGACACGGCCCAGACUCCUACGGGAGGCAGCAGUAGGGAAUCUUCGGCAAUGGACGGAAGUCUGACCGAGCAACGCCGCGUGAGUGAAGAAGGUUUUCGGAUCGUAAAGCUCUGUUGUAAGAGAAGAACGAGUGUGAGAGUGGAAAGUUCACACUGUGACGGUAUCUUACCAGAAAGGGACGGCUAACUACGUG